GCGCUGGUGCUGGAAUUGGCAGACAGGCAUGGUUGAGGAUCAUGUGCCGCAAGGCGUGCGGGUUCAAGUCCCGCCCAGCGCA
RNAcentral lists this transfer RNA (82 nucleotides) under Chloroflexota bacterium. RNAcentral describes it as "tRNA-Leu". It matches the Rfam family "tRNA". Rfam says of the family: Transfer RNA (tRNA) molecules are approximately 80 nucleotides in length. Their secondary structure includes four short double-helical elements and three loops (D, anti-codon, and T loops). The record is from RNAcentral. Lineage: Bacteria; Bacillati; Chloroflexota. RNAcentral also lists the same sequence under 2 other names.